RNAcentral lists this ribosomal RNA (446 nucleotides) under uncultured bacterium. RNAcentral describes it as "partial 16S ribosomal RNA". It matches the Rfam family "Bacterial small subunit ribosomal RNA", at positions 338 to 795 of the family's 1533-position model. The record is from RNAcentral.
CCUACGGGAGGCAGCAGUCGAGAAUCAUUCACAAUGGGGGAAACCCUGAUGGUGCGACGCCGCGUGGGGGAAUGAAGGUCUUCGGAUUGUAAACCCCUGUCAUGUGGGAGCAAAUGAAAAAGAUAGUACAACAAGAGGAAGAGACGUAUAACUCGGUGCCCGCAGCCGCGGUAAUACAGAGGUCUCAAGCGUUGUUCGGAAUCACUGGGCGGAAAGCGUGCGUAGGCUGUUUCGUAAGUCGUGUGUGAAAGGCGCGGGCCCAACCCGCGGACGGCACAUGAUACUGCGAGACUAGAGUAAUGGAGGGGGAACCGGAAUUCUCGGUGUAGCAGUGAAAUGCGUAGAUAGCGAGAGGAACACUCGUGGCGAAGGCGGGUUCCUGGACAUUAACUGACGCUGAGGCACGAAGGCCAGGGGAGCGAAAGGGAUUAGAGACCCCUGUAGUC